GACGAACGCUGGCGGCGUGCUUAACACAUGCAAGUCGUACGGUAAGGCCCUUUCGGGGGUUCACGAGUGGCGAACGGGUGAGUAACACGUGAGUAACCUGCCCACAACUUUGGGAUAACGCUAGGAAACUGGUGCUAAUACUGGAUAUGUGCUCCUGCUGCAUGGUGGGGGUUGGAAAGCUCCGGCGGUUGUGGAUGGACUCGCGGCCUAUCAGCUUGUUGGUGGGGUAGUGGCCUACCAAGGCGGCGACGGGUAGCCGGCCUGAGAGGGUGACCGGCCACAGUGGGACUGAGAUACGGCCCAGACGCCUACGGGAGGCAGCAGUGGGGAAUAUUGCACAAUGGGCGCAAGCCUGAUGCAGCAACGCCGCGUGCGGGAUGACGGCCUUCGGGUUGUAAACCGCUUUCAGCAGGGACGAAGCUUUUUGUGACGGUACCUGCAGAAGAAGCACCGGCUAACUACGUG
RNAcentral lists this ribosomal RNA (465 nucleotides) under uncultured bacterium. Its description in RNAcentral is "partial 16S ribosomal RNA". It matches the Rfam family "Bacterial small subunit ribosomal RNA", at positions 28 to 507 of the family's 1533-position model. The record is from RNAcentral.